RNAcentral lists this long non-coding RNA (1505 nucleotides) under Equus caballus (horse). Its description in RNAcentral is "lncRNA (ENSECAG00000034220.3)". The record is from RNAcentral. Lineage: Eukaryota; Metazoa; Chordata; Mammalia; Perissodactyla; Equidae.
UGAGGACAGGGCACCCAUCCCGCGUAGCCUGACCCCUACCUGCUCCUGUUGCUUCACCACAAGGCCAGCAAGUCGAGGGUCUCCACGGCACGGGGUGGUCGGCCAGAGGCGUGUAGGCAGAGUCGCGGGACGCAGCGGGAAGAGAAGCACACAAGAGGAACUCUUCCCUCUGCUCCAAGUCCUUCUGGAGACAGUCGGGCCUGGCUUCCGGGUCAGGUGGGGGUCACGAAAAAGGGGCGGGGCAUCCGGGGGCAGGUCUCCAGAGGGAGGAGGCGGCUCAGUCCUCCAGUUAGAGAUGGGGUCUUGGGUCCCCUGCCCAGGGACCCGCUUCCAGGGCUCCCCCAGGACCUCGUGGAGACCCCGCAGGGCGCCUGCUCGGGAGUCUGUCUCUCAAUGGCCCGGAGACUGCGGAGUUUGCCCAGUGGGCGCAGCCCUAUCCACUCCAGCCCAGGGGUCCCCAGAAGAGACAGGGCUGCCACGCAGGCGCUGGGCACGAUAGUUUAAAGGAAAAUGCGCAAAUGGGCGAAGACGGGCACCAAGGCCAGAGAGGAGGACUCCAUCGCGGGGCGGAAAAAAGGCGGCGGUGGCCUCACCGGGCUGAGGAAAGAGGCGGGAGCUGCUUGCGCAGGCGCGUUUUGGAUGCCUUAGGCUAUCUGCGCCUCAUAUCCAGGACUGCCCUUGGCCAAAUUGUAAGUCAAGACAGUUGCCAUCUAAAGAUACAUUUAAAGCUUGCCCUUCCUUUGGGAGAACAUAUGAGGUGACAUUACCUCAGAGAACAAAGAACCCUGGGUUUGUCCUGCCUCUCGUUUGGCCUUGCAUAAGAAGACUAAACUCAGGAUGUUUUUGGGGCCGUUGACAAGCUAGCCACUUUUGGAGUAAGACCAGAGCCAGAACUCUGACUUCCCAGACCUAUGGUGAUCCUUCCUCAGUGAAGACAGAUAAUGAGGUGGAUGGAAGAAUUGAAUCCUUAAGAAACGUCGCCAGGAGCCUUGCCUACAAGCUGCUGCCUUUGAGAAUUGUUGCAAGCCCUUAAAAAAGAGUGACCAGGAUGCAUUCCAUUCCUUGUGAAUUUCUUAGUUUAUGAGAAGAACACAAUUAGGAAGAAAUAGAGAAAAUUGAGGGAGGCUACAUCAUUGGCCGGCUAAUUGUCACAGGCAGCAUGAGAGUCCCAUGCCUGCAGCUUUCAGGCCAGCGGCUACCCUUACGUCACACUAUUCCCACAGUGGGAGGGAGAAGAGAGCAUCAGAGGAUAUGGUAUCUCCUGGGAGAGAGAGAACUUUGCCAAAGACAGCAUUUCUCCAUCUCCCCCCGUGUGCCAGGCCUGGCCAGCCUGUCUGAAGAUCCUAAGCUACAUUGACAUCAAGCACACUUUGCCCUGCCCCUGGUGGGAUGAGAGCUCUCGCGGUCUCCUGACAGUCCUAGGCGUCUGCCCUCCGAUGUGGCCCACAGAAGGGAAACACCCAGCAGGGUGGCAGCCGCUCCCGCUGGCACUGACAUAGUUCUUG